RNAcentral lists this small RNA (5739 nucleotides) under Pan troglodytes (chimpanzee). RNAcentral describes it as "retained intron". Lineage: Eukaryota; Metazoa; Chordata; Mammalia; Primates; Hominidae. The record is from RNAcentral.
UUCCAGGCCCGCUGCCGCGCCUAUCUGGUGCGCAAGGCCUUCCGCCACCGCCUCUGGGCUGUGCUCACCGUGCAGGCCUAUGCCCGGGGCAUGAUCGCCCGCAGGCUGCACCAACGCCUCAGGGCCGAGUACCUGCGGCGCCUCGAGGCUGAGAAAAUGAGGCUGGCGGAGGAAGAGAAGCUUCGGAAGGAGAUGAGCGCCAAGAAGGCCAAGGAGGAGGCCGAGCGCAAGCAUCAGGAGCGCCUGGCCCAGCUGGCUCGUGAGGACGCUGAGCGGGAGCUGAAGGAGAAGGAGGCCGCUCGGCGGAAGAAGGAGCUCCUGGAGCAGAUGGAAAGGGCCCGCCACGAGCCUGUCAAUCACUCAGACAUGGUGGACAAGAUGUUUGGCUUCCUGGGGACUUCAGGUGGCCUGCCAGGCCAGGAGGGCCAGGCACCUAGUGGCUUUGAGGACCUGGAGCGAGGGCGGAGGGAGAUGGUGGAGGAGGACCUGGAUGCAGCCCUGCCCCUGCCUGACGAGGAUGAGGAGGACCUCUCUGAGUAUAAAUUUGCCAAGUUCGCUGCCACCUACUUCCAGGGGACAACCACGCACUCCUACACCCGGCGGCCACUCAAACAGCCACUACUCUACCAUGACGACGAGGGUGACCAGCUGGCAGCCCUGGCGGUCUGGAUCACCAUCCUCCGCUUCAUGGGGGACCUCCCUGAGCCCAAGUACCACACAGCCAUGAGUGAUGGCAGUGAGAAGAUCCCUGUGAUGACCAAGAUUUAUGAGACCCUGGGCAAGAAGACGUACAAGAGGGAGCUGCAGGCCCUGCAGGGCGAGGGCGAGGCCCAGCUCCCCGAGGGCCAGAAGAAGAGCAGUGUGAGGCACAAGCUGGUGCAUUUGACUCUGAAAAAGAAGUCCAAGCUCACAGAGGAGGUGACCAAGAGGCUGCAUGACGGGGAGUCCACAGUGCAGGGCAACAGCAUGCUGGAGGACCGGCCCACCUCCAACCUGGAGAAGCUGCACUUCAUCAUCGGCAAUGGCAUCCUGCGGCCAGCACUCCGGGACGAGAUCUACUGCCAGAUCAGCAAGCAGCUGACCCACAACCCCUCCAAGAGCAGCUAUGCCCGGGGCUGGAUUCUCGUGUCUCUCUGCGUGGGCUGUUUCGCCCCCUCCGAGAAGUUUGUCAAGUACCUGCGGAACUUCAUCCACGGGGGCCCGCCCGGCUACGCCCCGUACUGUGAGGAGCGCCUGAGAAGGACCUUUGUCAAUGGGACACGGACACAGCCGCCCAGCUGGCUGGAGCUGCAGGCCACCAAGUCCAAGAAGCCAAUCAUGUUGCCCGUGACAUUCAUGGAUGGGACCACCAAGACCCUGCUGACGGACUCGGCAACCACGGCCAAGGAGCUCUGCAACGCGCUGGCCGACAAGAUCUCUCUCAAGGACCGGUUCGGGUUCUCCCUCUACAUUGCCCUGUUUGACAAGGUGUCCUCCCUGGGCAGCGGCAGUGACCACGUCAUGGACGCCAUCUCCCAGUGCGAGCAGUACGCCAAGGAGCAGGGCGCCCAGGAGCGCAACGCCCCCUGGAGGCUCUUCUUCCGCAAAGAGGUCUUCACGCCCUGGCACAGCCCCUCCGAGGACAACGUGGCCACCAACCUCAUCUACCAGCAGGUGGUGCGAGGAGUCAAGUUUGGGGAGUACAGGUGUGAGAAGGGCUGAGUGUGCAGUGGCUGCUCGAUGGGCUGGCUUGUUUCUUUGCAUCACUUCAUGUGCCCCUGGGCAGAGUCCAGCUCCAUGCCAGUGCCAAAGGGAUCCAGGAGAAGGAGGACGACCUGGCUGAGCUGGCCUCCCAGCAGUACUUUGUGGACUAUGGCUCUGAGAUGAUCCUGGAGCGCCUCCUGAACCUCGUGCCCACCUACAUCCCCGACCGCGAGAUCACGCCCCUGAAGACGCUGGAGAAGUGGGCCCAGCUGGCCAUCGCCGCCCACAAGAAGGGGAUUUAUGCCCAGAGGAGAACUGAUGCCCAGAAGGUCAAAGAGGAUGUGGUCAAUUAUGCCCGCUUCAAGUGGCCCUUGCUCUUCUCCAGGUUUUAUGAAGCCUACAAAUUCUCAGGCCCCAGUCUCCCCAAGAAUGACGUCAUCGUGGCCGUCAACUGGACGGGUGUGUACUUUGUGGAUGAGCAGGAGCAGGUACUUCUGGAGCUGUCCUUCCCAGAGAUCAUGGCCGUGUCCAGCAGCAGGGGAGCGAAAACGACGGCCCCCAGCUUCACGCUGGCCACCAUCAAGGGGGACGAAUACACCUUCACCUCCAGCAAUGCUGAGGACAUUCGUGACCUGGUGGUCACCUUCCUAGAGGGGCUCCGGAAGAGAUCUAAGUAUGUUGUGGCCCUGCAGGAUAACCCCAACCCCGGUGAGGAGUCAGGCUUCCUCAGCUUUGCCAAGGGAGACCUCAUCAUCCUGGACCAUGACACGGGCGAGCAGGUCAUGAACUCGGGCUGGGCCAACGGCAUCAAUGAGAGGACCAAGCAGCGUGGGGACUUCCCCACCGACAGUGUGUACGUCAUGCCCACUGUCACCAUGCCACCGCGGGACAUUGUGGCCCUGGUCACCAUGACUCCCGACCAGAGGCAGGACGUUGUCCGGCUCUUGCAGCUGCGAACGGCAGAGCCCGAGGUGCGUGCCAAGCCCUACACGCUGGAGGAGUUUUCCUAUGACUACUUCAGGCCCCCACCCAAGCACACGCUGAGCCGUGUCAUGGUGUCCAAGGCCCGAGGCAAGGACCGGCUGUGGAGCCACACGCGGGAACCGCUCAAGCAGGCGCUGCUCAAGAAGCUCCUGGGCAGUGAGGAGCUCUCGCAGGAGGCCUGCCUGGCCUUCAUUGCUGUGCUCAAGUACAUGGGCGACUACCCGUCCAAGAGGACACGCUCCGUCAACGAGCUCACCGACCAGAUCUUUGAGGGUCCCCUGAAAGCCGAGCCCCUGAAGGACGAGGCAUAUGUGCAGAUCCUGAAGCAGCUGACCGACAACCACAUCAGGUACAGCGAGGAGCGGGGUUGGGAGCUGCUCUGGCUGUGCACGGGCCUCUUCCCACCCAGCAACAUCCUCCUGCCCCACGUGCAGCGCUUCCUGCAGUCCCGAAAGCACUGCCCACUCGCCAUCGACUGCCUGCAACGGCUCCAGAAAGCCCUGAGAAACGGGUCCCGGAAGUACCCUCCGCACCUGGUGGAGGUGGAGGCCAUCCAGCACAAGACCACCCAGAUUUUCCACAAGGUCUACUUCCCUGAUGACACUGACGAGGCCUUCGAAGUGGAGUCCAGCACCAAGGCCAAGGACUUCUGCCAGAACAUCGCCACCAGGCUGCUCCUCAAGUCCUCAGAGGGAUUCAGCCUCUUUGUCAAAAUUGCAGACAAGGUCAUCAGCGUUCCUGAGAAUGACUUCUUCUUUGACUUUGUUCGACACUUGACAGACUGGAUAAAGAAAGCUCGGCCCAUCAAGGACGGAAUUGUGCCCUCACUCACCUACCAGGUGUUCUUCAUGAAGAAGCUGUGGACCACCACGGUGCCAGGGAAGGAUCCCAUGGCCGAUUCCAUCUUCCACUAUUACCAGGAGUUGCCCAAGUAUCUCCGAGGCUACCACAAGUGCACGCGGGAGGAGGUGCUGCAGCUGGGGGCACUGAUCUACAGGGUCAAGUUCGAGGAGGACAAGUCCUACUUCCCCAGCAUCCCCAAGCUGCUGCGGGAGCUGGUGCCCCAGGACCUUAUCCGGCAGGUCUCACCUGAUGACUGGAAGCGGUCCAUCGUCGCCUACUUCAACAAGCACGCAGGGAAGUCCAAGGAGGAGGCCAAGCUGGCCUUCCUGAAGCUCAUCUUCAAGUGGCCCACCUUUGGCUCAGCCUUCUUCGAGGUGAAGGUACACCAUGGGCUUCUCAGAGCAGAGGAGGAGGGGAACAGGGCAUUGAGAAAGCACAGAGACUCCUCCCUAGGACUGUGGGAAAGAGCCAUGGCCUUGGACACCUGCCCUGGUGAGGGAAGGAGGGCAGCACCCUCAGCCUUGUCCCAGCUUAGCGUCUUAGCUGGGGUAAGUCCUGGGGACAGAGGGACCAGAAGAAGCUCAGCCUGGCAGUGGAGGCAGACAUGUAAACAGGCUGGGGUAAUGGAGGAUGGCCUGUGUUCUGACACUGGGGAGCCCUCGCCCAGGUGGCAGAGCUUGGGAGGCUCUGCCGGGUGUGAGAAGGCCUCUUAGAGGAGGUGAUAUCUGAGCUUUCCAGGCAGACCCUGGAAAGAGUGCUCCUGGCAGGGGUCCCACAUAGACAAAGGCCUGGAGGUGUGAGAACUCAGGUCUGGGAAGGAAAUCCAAGUAGUGAGGGCAGGAGGCGAGAGUGGGCUGUGGAGAGCAGCAGCUUGGCAAGCAGGUGAGAGGCUGGGUUUCCUGCAGGGGUGGCCUGCCUUGGAGGGUUUUGAACACAGGUGACGUGGCCAGAAAUCCUCUCAGGCUGCGGGUGGAGGAGGGGUCUGAGGGGCACAACAGAGGCAGGAGUGUGGUGAGGAGGCUGGUGUGAGAGGAUACGUAUGGUCUUGUCACACAGCUAGGAUGGGAGGCCUUUUGAGGAGCUUGGCUGUGCGAGGAGAACAGGUAGGUAGCUGGAGGCAGGUGCAGGGUCCAGGAGGCUUUUAAAGAUGGGAGGCCCUUGGGCUGAGAGGGAGGACAAAGCAGAGGAUGGCCUGGGGGACCCAGGAAGGGAUGUGGGGCAGCACUGAGGGCCCAGCGGAGGUGGAAGCCAUAGGUCAUGGCAGGGCCGUCAGUACCAUAUAGGCAACAGGAGAGGCUGACUUUAUCCCAGCUGGGGCCAGGCUUCAUUCCUGUCCCCAAAUGCUUUUCUUGCUCUGGCCCCCCAUCUGAUGCCUUCUCAUCUUUUUUUCUAGCAAACUACGGAGCCAAACUUCCCUGAGAUCCUCCUAAUUGCCAUCAACAAGUAUGGGGUCAGCCUCAUCGAUCCCAAAACGAAGGAUAUCCUCACCACUCAUCCCUUCACCAAGAUCUCCAACUGGAGCAGCGGCAACACCUACUUCCACAUCACCAUCGGGAACUUGGUGCGCGGGAGCAAACUGCUCUGCGAGACGUCACUGGGCUACAAGAUGGAUGACCUCCUGACUUCCUACAUUAGCCAGAUGCUCACAGCCAUGAGCAAACAGCGGGGCUCCAGGAGCGGCAAGUGAACAGUCACGGGGAGGUGCUGGUUCCAUGCCUGCUCUCGAGGCAGCAGUGGGUUCAGGCCCAUCAGCUACCCCUGCAGCUGGGGAAGACUUAUGCCAUCCCGGCAGCGAGGCUGGGCUGGCCAGCCACCACUGACUAUACCAACUGGGCCUCUUAUGUUCUUCCAGUGAGGCAUCUCUCUGGGAUGCAGAACUUCCCUCCAUCCACCCCUCUGGCACCUGGGUUGGUCUAGUCCUAGUUUGCUGUGGCCUUCCCGGUUGUGAGAGCCUGUGAUCCUUAGAUGUGUCUCCUGUUUCAGACCAGCCCCACCAUGCAACUUCCUUUGACUUUCUGUGUACCACUGGGAUAGAGGAAUCAAGAGGACAAUCUAGCUCUCCAUACUUUGAACAACCAAAUGUGCACUGAAUACUCUGAAACCGAAGGGACUGGAUCUGCAGGUGGGAUGAGGGAGACAGACCACUUUUCUAUAUUGCAGUGUGAAUGCUGGGCCCCUGCUCAAGUCUACCCUGAUCACCUCAGGGCAUAAAGCAUGUUUCAUUCUCUG